Molecule: long non-coding RNA, 2007 nt
Filed under: Sorghum bicolor (sorghum)
Lineage: Eukaryota; Viridiplantae; Streptophyta; Magnoliopsida; Poales; Poaceae
Description: long non-coding RNA (SBIC_LNC000362)
Source: RNAcentral
CACAAAUGGCGGAGCUGCCGAAGAAGCACGCGAGAACAUGUUGCUGCUAGACGAUGACAACCUCUGGUUCCUGCAGAGACAAAAGGAUAUAAAUGGAAGGCAAGUUUUCUACUCUUGUGUCGUCGAUCCUGUCGGUAGCAUAACAUCUACACUAUUACUAGUUGUUUAUUACUUACUUACUUGUUUAUAUAUAUUAGCUACAGCCAGUACUGGUGCUCUACAUGACUGUUGUUUUCGCAUUGUGAUUCGUUUUGGUAGGGUUGGUGUGAAGCCCCCGGCAAUAGAGGUGAGGUAUGAGAAACUUUGCGUGGAAGCAGAAAGCAGAUACUCCAGUGGUGCUACUCACCUGCCAACUCUGUGGAACAGCAUCAAGGCUGCUUACUCUGUAAGGCAAUAAAGACACUCAAACGAGUGUUACAUCUGAUGAUAUAUUGUAAGGAAAACAAAGGCUGGUGCAAAAGAUUAUUGACCAACAUAAUAUCCUUCUGCUUUAUAUCUUUGUGGAAAAUACCUUUUGAGACGAUGGUAGCUAGGAAUCAUCUGGCAGAAAUUAAAACUAAAAUCACAAAAGUUAUCCCUGAUUAUUAACUUCCAAAACCUCUGGUUAUGUAAAUGAAACACUUAGCCUAUCAUUGUGGUUACCAAAUUAAAGCUGCAACUAAUUUGUUCUGAAUAAGUAUUUCACAUUCCCUGACAACAUGUAUGCUUCCCAAAUUUAGAAGACAAUAAAAAGUGCUUUACUAGACUUUCUUGGUCCAUAGGGUUUCAUCAUGUUAUUUGGGCUGAAGUCUGACGAUAAAGUAAAGAUAAACAUCCUAGAAGAUGUGAGCGGAAUCAUCAGACCCUGCAGGUUUGUGAGCACCAAGAAUAGUUACACCUUUUUCCUUUCUGGAAAUUAAAGGAUAAUAAUAUCUAGAAUGCUUAUCAUAGUAGAUAUAUAUAACUUGUAAUCUGAAGUUAUCUCAAUAUCCUUGCAGAUUGACUCUUCUAUUAGGACCUCCUGGAUGUGGAAAAAGCACAUUGCUGCGAGCUCUUGCUGGCCAACUCGAUAAAUCUCUAAAGGUACAAAUUUGCUUAUCUACCGAAUCUAUCAGUUACUCAACAAUAUUUUUUUCUCAGAACAAAUCAAGCAACAGUACUUUCAGCCAUGACUUUUCAACCAAAUGAACAGAGCGACAUGUGAGGGGUACAAAAAGUGGUAUUGGUGCAAAGCGCAUGCCGACACCAAUAACUGUGUAUCCUAGUGCCGGUCCAAGGAUUUUAAGGAUCUUUUGACGAGCUCGUCACGACGGCCCCUCUAUACUAUAUAUAAAUCUUAUAUAAUAUACAUAAGUGCUAAUUUUUCUUGCAAAACGAAAACAAAUCCAGUAAUAUAUUUUUAAUUUAACAUGUUUGACAAUUAUCGAGCAACAAUGUAGACCAAAACUAAUAUUCUCUAUAGCAUCAUCAUUGACAUCAACUUGUUCACUUAAAUUAUCAUUAACUUGUUGCUGCUCUUGUUCUUCAAUAUCAAGUGCAUCUACGGGAUUAUCAUCAGACACAACACUGCUUAAGGCUGAAAAAAAACUUAUGUAUAGCACCUUUUUAAGAUUCAAUAAAUUGAUUUUCUAGUUUUUCCGGUUUCUGAGCCUCCAACAAAUAUUCCUUAGAUAACACUCUAAGAUUCUAACACCUAAAUUAGAAGAAAAACAUGAUUAUAUGAGUACCGAAGUUCAAAAUAAUUAGUUGGAUUAAAAAUGAUUAAGAAAAAAAAUACCUAGAGGCUAGGGCCUGAUCGAGUGAUCGGCGGGUGAUGAUUGAUGAAGCGAUGAUUGGCUGAUCCAGUCGAGUCGAGCCGGGCCUUGGAGUGCUCUGUCGGUGUUCCCUGAUCGCCCCCAUUGCCGUGCGCGGUGCUGAUCCGUUCCGUGUCUCCACGAGCGGCGAGUCGAGUCCGUGGCGGCUCCGUCCCUAAAUAGUGUCCAAAUAAGUCGUCAAUAUAAAUUCAUUUAUAUGGGUUGCUGGUGUUAU